CUUUCACUCUGGAAACUUGUUCUUCACAGGGAACAUGUUGUUAUGACAGAUAAUAUUGCUUAAAACUUGCUGAUCAUCUCUUUUAAAAUGCAGAUUGUAAGGAUCAAGACACUCCCUGGUGCAGGAAUGCUGCUUUUUGCUGCACUAUUUGUGUUUAGCCAACCUUCAUAUGUGGGGUCCGCAGAGGUGACCCAUUGGGCAGAGGUCAUGAUUGAGGGGA
RNAcentral lists this long non-coding RNA (220 nucleotides) under Sinocyclocheilus grahami. Its description in RNAcentral is "lncRNA (ENSSGRG00000025815.1)". The record is from RNAcentral. Lineage: Eukaryota; Metazoa; Chordata; Actinopteri; Cypriniformes; Cyprinidae.